This 636-nucleotide ribosomal RNA is filed under the name uncultured bacterium. RNAcentral describes it as "bacterial SSU rRNA". It matches the Rfam family "Bacterial small subunit ribosomal RNA", at positions 31 to 711 of the family's 1533-position model. The record is from RNAcentral.
CAACGCUGGCGGCAGGCUUACACAUGCAGUCUAACGGGUGCAGCAAUGCAUCAGCUGGCUCACGGGUGAGUAACGCGUGGGAAUCUACCCAUCUCUACGGAACAACUCCGGGAAACUGGAGCUAAUACCGUAUACGUCCUUCGGGAGAAAGAUUUAUCGGAGAUGGAUGAGCCCGCGUUGGAUUAGCUAGUUGGUGUGCGUAAUGGCCUACCAAGGCAACGAUCCAUAGCUGGUCUGAGAGGAUGAUCAGCCACAUUGGGACUGAGACACGGCCCAAACUCCUACGGGAGGCAGCAGUGGGGAAUAUUGGACAAUGGGCGAAAGCCUGAUCCAGCCAUGCCGCGUGAGUGAUGAAGGCCCUAGGGUUGUAAAGCUCUUUCACCGGUGAAGAUAAUGACGGUAACCGGAGAAGAAGCCCCGGCUAACUUCGUGCCAGCAGCCGCGGUAAUACGAAUGGGGCUAGCGUUGUUCGGAAUUACUGGGCGUAAAGCGCACGUAGGCGGAUACUUAAGUUAGGGGUGAAAUCCCAGGGCUCAACCCUGGAACUGCCUUUAAUACUGGGUAUCUCGAGUCCGAAAGAGGUGAGUGGAAUUCCGAGUGUAGAGGUGAAAUUCGUAGAUAUUCGGACGAACACCA